This 92-nucleotide transfer RNA is filed under the name Pelagibacteraceae bacterium TMED136. RNAcentral describes it as "tRNA-Ser". It matches the Rfam family "tRNA". From Rfam's summary of the family: Transfer RNA (tRNA) molecules are approximately 80 nucleotides in length. Their secondary structure includes four short double-helical elements and three loops (D, anti-codon, and T loops). RNAcentral also lists the same sequence under 1 other name. The record is from RNAcentral. Lineage: Bacteria; Pseudomonadati; Pseudomonadota; Alphaproteobacteria; Candidatus Pelagibacterales; Candidatus Pelagibacteraceae.
GGACAGGCGGGUGAGUGGUUGAAACCAGCUGGUUGCUAACUAGCCUUACGAGUAACAUCGUAACGAGGGUUCGAAUCCCUCCCUGUCCGCCA